CGGUAGUUCAGGAAUAAGCACCGGCUAACUACCGUGCCAGCAGAAUGCGGUAAUACGGAGGGUGCAAGCGUUGUCCGGAAUCACUGGGUGUAAAGGGUGUGCAGGCGGGGCAGCAAGUCGGAUGUGAAACCCCAUGGCUUAACCAUGGAGGUGCAUUCGAAACUGUUGCUCUUGAGUCCCGGAGAGGCUGUCGGAAUUCGUGGUGUAGCGGUGAAAUGCGUAGAUAUCACGAGGAACACCAGAGGCGAAAGCGGACAGCUGGUACGGGUACUGACGCUCAGGCACGAAAGCGUGGGGAGCAAACAGGAUUAGAUACCCUGGUAGUCCCACGCCGUAAACGAUGAAUGCUCGCCGUGCCUCGUUAGGGGGCAGUGGCUAAGCUAACGCGUUC
This 391-nucleotide ribosomal RNA is filed under the name uncultured bacterium. RNAcentral's name for it is "bacterial SSU rRNA". It matches the Rfam family "Bacterial small subunit ribosomal RNA", at positions 473 to 862 of the family's 1533-position model. The record is from RNAcentral.